RNAcentral lists this small RNA (299 nucleotides) under Histoplasma ohiense. RNAcentral's name for it is "hypothetical lncRNA". The record is from RNAcentral. Lineage: Eukaryota; Fungi; Ascomycota; Eurotiomycetes; Onygenales; Ajellomycetaceae.
AGGACAGCCAUGGGGGAUCCAUGCAGGGAUCCAUGGGAACGACCUCACAAGCUGUGGCGUGGUUCAGACGAUGAACAGAUCGAGUUUCAUGGACGGCCAUCGUUUCGACUGCUCGAUUUCGGGGUUCUUUUUCUUUUUCCCUUUUUUCUUUUUUGGCGGUUUUGGAAUGGGGAUAAUGCCCAGAAGGAGGCCCGAGCAAACGGCCCUGGCAUGCUUGAUCAAUACAGGAUAGGUCUUCCAAAGACUUUUCUCCCAAUUUCUAGUCGUCAAGCCAAACCCCACACUAAAUUUGCCGUGGA